GGACGAACGCUGGCGGCGUGCUUAACACAUGCAAGUCGAACGGUAAGGCCCUUCGGGGUACACGAGUGGCGAACGGGUGAGUAACGCGUGAGUAACCUGCCCUUCACUCUGGGAUAACAGUUGGAAACGGCUGCUAAUACCGGAUAUUCAGCUCCUGUCGCAUGGUGGGGGUUGGAAAGUUUUGGUGGUGGAGGAUGGGCUCGCGUCCUAUCAGCUUGUUGGUGGGGUGAUGGCCUACCAAGGCGUCGACGGGUAGCCGGCCUGAGAGGGCGACCGGCCACAUUGGGACUGAGAUACGGCCCAAACUCCUACGGGAGGCAGCAGUGGGGAAUAUUGCACAAUGGGCGGAAGCCUGAUGCAGCAACGCCGCGUGCGGGAUGACGGCCUUCGGGUUGUAAACCGCUUUCAGCAGGGACGAAGCGCAAGUGACGGUACCUGCAGAAGAAGCACCGGCUAACUACGUG
Molecule: ribosomal RNA, 464 nt
Filed under: uncultured bacterium
Lineage: Bacteria
Description: partial 16S ribosomal RNA
Rfam family: Bacterial small subunit ribosomal RNA
Source: RNAcentral